AUUGAACGCUGGCGGCAUGCCUUACACAUGCAAGUCGAACGGCAGCACGGGAGCAAUCCUGGUGGCGAGUGGCGAACGGGUGAGUAAUAUAUCGGAACGUGCCUGGUCGUGGGGAUAACGUAGCGAAAGCUACGCUAAUACCGCAUACGAUCUACGGAUGAAAGCGGGGGAUCGCAAGACCUCGCGCGAUUGGAGCGGCCGAUAUCAGAUUAGGUAGUUGGUGAGGUAAAGGCUCACCAAGCCGACGAUCUGUAGCUGGUCUGAGAGGACGACCAGCCACACUGGGACUGAGACACGGCCCAGACUCCUACGGGAGGCAGCAGUGGGGAAUUUUGGACAAUGGGCGAAAGCCUGAUCCAGCAAUGCCGCGUGAGUGAUGAAGGCCUUAGGGUGUAAAGCUCUUUUACCCGAGAUGAUAAUGACAGUAUCGGGAGAAUAAGACUCCGGCUAACUCCGUGCCAGCAGCCG
Molecule: ribosomal RNA, 468 nt
Filed under: uncultured bacterium
Lineage: Bacteria
Description: bacterial SSU rRNA
Rfam family: Bacterial small subunit ribosomal RNA
Source: RNAcentral